Long non-coding RNA from Zingiber officinale, 273 nucleotides. RefSeq lists it as uncharacterized. Lineage: Eukaryota; Viridiplantae; Streptophyta; Magnoliopsida; Zingiberales; Zingiberaceae. The transcript is spliced from 2 exons. The record is from RefSeq and is a predicted model, not a curated record.
AAACCGGAUCUGUUCUUCCCCUCCUCUCUUGCGACGGCGCGACUCCUUCUUGGGCGAAAUCGCGGCAGCAAGCGAUCACGUCUCCGGCGCCCGGCGAGGUUGUUCUCCGAGGGUUUCUUCACGAGGUGGUGGUCCUCACGUCGAGGAGAGGCCGUGAGCACAAGAAGGGACCGAGAGCUUGAGUUAACCGGAACCCUAACAGCUCCUCCUUCUCGGUUGUAGGUCCAAGAAACCCAAGAUACAGGAAAGGGAAGGAUAUAGAAAGGAAGGCGA